AACGAACGCUGGCGGCGUGGAUUAGGCAUGCAAGUCGAGCGAGAAAGGGGUAGCAAUAUCCUGAGUAAAGCGGCGAACUGGUGAGUAACAGGUGGGCAACGUGCCCCGAAGUUGGGGAUAACUCCGAGAAAUCGGAGCUAAUACCGAAUGUGGCCGUUUGGACUUUGGUUCGAACGGUUAAAGACGUAAUUCGCUUCGGGAUCGGCCCGCCCCGGA
This 216-nucleotide ribosomal RNA is filed under the name uncultured bacterium. Its description in RNAcentral is "partial 16S ribosomal RNA". It matches the Rfam family "Bacterial small subunit ribosomal RNA", at positions 29 to 240 of the family's 1533-position model. The record is from RNAcentral.